This 370-nucleotide ribosomal RNA is filed under the name uncultured organism. RNAcentral describes it as "bacterial SSU rRNA". It matches the Rfam family "Bacterial small subunit ribosomal RNA", at positions 526 to 896 of the family's 1533-position model. The record is from RNAcentral.
CGUAGGGUGCGAGCGUUAAUCGGAAUUACUGGGCGUAAAGCGUGCGCAGGCGGUUUUGUAAGACAGAUGUGAAAUCCCCGGGCUCAACCUGGGACCUGCAUUUGUGACUGCAAGGCUAGAGUACGGUAGAGGGGGAUGGAAUUCCGCGUGUAGCGGUGAAAUGCGUAGAUAUGCGGAGGAACACCGAUGGCGAAGGCAAUCCCCUGGACCUGUACUGACGCUCAUGCACGAAAGCGUGGGGAGCAAACAGGAUUAGAUACCCUGGUAGUCCACGCCCUAAACGAUGUCAACUGGUUGUUGGGUCUUUACUGACUCAGUAACGAAGCUAACGCGUGAAGUUGACCGCCUGGGGAGUACGGCCGCAAGGUUG